This 1365-nucleotide ribosomal RNA is filed under the name Atheta gagatina. Its description in RNAcentral is "16S ribosomal RNA". The stretch from base 1070 to 1228 matches the Rfam family "Archaeal large subunit ribosomal RNA", at positions 2542 to 2701 of the family's 2987-position model. The record is from RNAcentral. Lineage: Eukaryota; Metazoa; Arthropoda; Insecta; Coleoptera; Staphylinidae.
GAAUCAAUUUAAUUUGAAAUUUAAUUUAAUUAUUAAGUUAAAUAAAAAUUUUAUUAAAAAAAAUAUUUUUAAGUUUUAUUAUUAUUUAAAGAAAAAAGUAUUAAAAUUAUAGUUUAUUAGUAUAGUGAUAGAAUUUUUUUUUAAAAUUUAAUAAGAAAGAUUUAUUUUUUGUACCUUGUGUAUCAGGGUUUAUUAAUUAAAUUUUAUUUAUGUUUUUAAGUUUCUCGAUUUUAAAAGAGUUAAUUAUUUAUAAAUUUUAUUGUAAAAUAACUAUUUAAAAUAAAUAAUUAGUAAUGAAACGUUAUUCGUUUUUAAAUAUAUCUAGUUUUUAAAGAAAAAAAUUCAAUUUUAUUUAUAUAAAAAUAUUAAAGUUUUAUGAUAAAUAAAAAUUUUAUAUAAAUUAUAUUAUUUGGGAUAAGCUAGAUAAUAGAUUAUUAAAAAUUAAUAAAUAUAUUAUUUUAAAUUGUAGAAUUAGAAAUUUUCAUCAUUUAGUUUGUUAUAAUUAAUUAAUUUUUUAAAAAGAUUUGUAUUAAUUUUAAAUUUUUUAUUUAAAUAUUAAAUUUAAUAGUUUAAUUUAAGAAAUUAUGAUAAAAUUAGUAUAAUAUAUUGUAUUUUAUAAGUAUUAUUUAAAUGUUAUAAAAAGGAAUUCGGCAAAUAUAUUUUUCGCCUGUUUAUUAAAAACAUGUCUUUUUGAUUUUAAUUUAAAGUCUAACCUGCCCAAUGAGUAAUUGAAUGGCCGCAGUAUUUUGACUGUGCAAAGGUAGCAUAAUCAUUAGUUUCUUAAUUAGGAACUGGUAUGAAAGGUUGGACGAGAAAAUAACUGUCUCUUUAUAAAUUAGUUAGAAUUUUAUUUUUAAGUUAAAAAGCUUAAAUUUUUUUAAAAGACGAGAAGACCCUAUAGAGUUUUAUAUAAUUUGUUUUAAUAGUUUAAAUUGAAUUUUAAAAAUUUUAUUUAAAAUUAUAUUUAAUUGGGGUGAUUGAAAAAAUUAAUUAACUUUUUUUAAAUAAAAACAUUAAUGUAUGAUUUAUUGAUCCAUAAUUUAUGAUUAAAAGAUUAAAUUACCUUAGGGAUAACAGCGUAAUUUCUUUGAAGAGUUCAAAUCGAUAAAGAAGUUUGCGACCUCGAUGUUGGAUUAAAAUUUAAUUUUGGUGUAGAAGCUAAAAAAUUAGGUCUGUUCGACCUUUGAAAUUUUACAUGAUCUGAGUUUAAACCGGUGUGAGCCAGGUUGGUUUCUAUCUUUAAAAUAUAAAAAGAUAUUUUAGUACGAAAGGACCAAAUAUUAAUAAAAUUUAUUAAAUUUUGAACAUUAUUAAAAUUAUUUUGGCAGAUUAGUGCAUUAAAUUUAGAAUUUAAUUAUGUAAUUU